ACCUAGCUGGCUCAGUCAGAAGAGAAUGUGACUCUUGAUCUUGGGGUCGUGAGUUCGAGUCCCACGUUGGGUG
Molecule: transfer RNA, 73 nt
Filed under: Ursus americanus (American black bear)
Lineage: Eukaryota; Metazoa; Chordata; Mammalia; Carnivora; Ursidae
Also listed under: 2 other names
Rfam family: tRNA
About the family: Transfer RNA (tRNA) molecules are approximately 80 nucleotides in length. Their secondary structure includes four short double-helical elements and three loops (D, anti-codon, and T loops).
Source: Rfam by way of RNAcentral